GUGAAUCAUCGAAUUUUUGAACGCACACUGCACUCUCUGGUAUUCCGGAGAGUAUGCCUGUUUGAGGAUCAGUUUAAAUAAACAUCUGUGUGUUUGGUGCCUUUCGUGGUGACGCACCGGGUUUGGGUCGUCUUGCCUUCGGGUACGUGAGCUGGAAUUUACCAUGAGUUUUAUCGAACGUAUUUAAAUGAUUUUACGUACGUUUGCGAUCUCGUAUACUAGGGGUUGUCAUUCUCAUGAUUCGCGGCUAGCAUUUUUCAUCAUAAUGAACUCAAAUCUGGUCAGAGUA
Molecule: unclassified non-coding RNA, 289 nt
Filed under: Glomus sp.
Lineage: Eukaryota; Fungi; Glomeromycota; Glomeromycetes; Glomerales; Glomeraceae
Description: partial contains 5.8S ribosomal RNA and internal transcribed spacer 2
Rfam family: 5.8S ribosomal RNA (bases 1-71)
Source: RNAcentral